UACGUAGGGUGCGAGCGUUGUCCGGAAUUACUGGGCGUAAAGAGCUCGUAGGUGGUUUGUCGCGUUGUCCGUGAAAUUCCCUGGCUUAACUGGGGGCGUGCGGGCGAUACGGGCAGACUGGAGUACUGCAGGGGAGACUGGAAUUCCUGGUGUAGCGGUGGAAUGCGCAGAUAUCAGGAGGAACACCGGUGGGCGAAGGCGGG
RNAcentral lists this ribosomal RNA (203 nucleotides) under uncultured bacterium. Its description in RNAcentral is "partial 16S ribosomal RNA". It matches the Rfam family "Bacterial small subunit ribosomal RNA", at positions 524 to 725 of the family's 1533-position model. The record is from RNAcentral.